Dendroctonus ponderosae (mountain pine beetle) is the source of this 547-nucleotide long non-coding RNA. RefSeq lists it as uncharacterized. The transcript is spliced from 2 exons. The record is from RefSeq and is a predicted model, not a curated record. NCBI's taxonomy places the organism in Eukaryota, Metazoa, Arthropoda, Insecta, Coleoptera, Curculionidae.
AGGUGCAAUAAAACCGAUUUUUUUAUGUUUUUUUAUACACGUUCUUCUUGAAAAUAUCGAAACAAAUAUCGUUGAACAUUUGUUGAAUACAUCUCUACUGGAGCGCUAAAUGGCCACAGUCUCACUCACGAAUUCCUUUGUAUCUUCAUGUGAAAUCUCUAUUUGUUUGCAUUUCUAGCCGUUUCGACUAUAAAUACCAUUUAGAAUACAAGUGUCUUUCGACUGUAUGUACUAAAUUAAAUCAUGUCGGCUUUUAAUGCCGUAGAGCAAUAUAGGUAUAGUGCUAAAGCAAUAAUCAUAAUCUUUGAGCUUGGAUACAACUUGCGUUUCAACGAUAUGGUAUUUGAAACUGGUAAUACUUCUGUUGAAAAAAGAAGGUUUGUUCCAAUGGAUUCAGCUAGUUUCAGCUUGCAUAAAUUAAUAAUAUGUGCCUUCAGACACUGUGACGUGUCGUAAUAUCUUAGUAACGCUCCAUUUAGCAUUUGAACGGCGAAUAAAGUUAUAUUUAAUUCGUUUUUUUAAUGUAAUAAAUGCUCGUUGGAAGUUG